This is a non-coding RNA of Pelobates cultripes (western spadefoot toad), 958 nucleotides long. The record is from the annotation of a GenBank genome assembly. Lineage: Eukaryota; Metazoa; Chordata; Amphibia; Anura; Pelobatidae.
CACAAAGGGACUAGGGGGAAAGAGAAACACAGAGGAGCUAGAGGAAGCAGGAGACACACAAAAAAAGCUGUGGGUGGGGGGAGAAGGAAAUACACAAAUGGGCUGAGAGGUGAAAGAGACACACACAGAAGCUGAAGGGAACUAAGAAACACACAUAUAGGGGUGUUAGACAAACAAAGAGGAAAUUGAGGGAUUAAAAUGCAUCUUCACCUGUGUAGCCAAAAUGCCUUGCCCCUGCCCUGAAUCAAGAUAUAUUAUUCAGGGCCAUAUUACGUAUGGCAUAUACUAUUACUGUCAAAUAUUUUAGCAAAAAAGUCCAAAGCACAUACAAUAUUUAAAACAUAUAACAUUUAUGAAAAACCAGUUCAUGGCCAUUACUGUUAGUGAUGUAUAGGUAGGGGAGUUAAAUUUGGGUGAUAAUCAGUUUUAUUGCCGUUAUGCCAAUACAUAUUUUGUGUCCAGAGAUCAGUUUGGUGUGUUACUGAGAUAAGAGCACCUUGAAGUUAUCCAGCUAUCCCACACAUUUACAUGCAAUCUCUGCUUUCCCAUUAGAACCGUCAUCAAAACAGGGAGGAGGUCCUCUUCCAUUUUCUUGCUAUAGUUAUUUUGACUGCUGUUAAAAUAUGACUGCCACCAAUGAGGGCAGGAACAUUUAUCUCUGGAGGAAACAAGUACAGUAGCAAGCAUUCAGGUGAACAUGGAAGGCAGAACUGUGUGAUGAAUGAUAUGGUAUCAUGCCUGCCUCCAGAAAGCUUAGAGUAUUGUACUGUUCUAGAAUAUGUGUUUUAGGAAACCCAGGGCAGACUGGCACCUCCACCGCAUGGGGGAGAGGUUCAGAUAAAUAGUUGAUAACCACUCGGGCACUAUGUAACAAAGCAGUAGAUCUGCUGUUAGAUCUUAACUUGCAAGCUAAACCUUUAACCUUUACCAGCUGCGUUCACUUGAUUGUAGAGUCUAG